ACCUGCUAAAUAGCCAGGCCGGCUUUUGGUGGUCGCCGGCUUUUUAGAGGGACUGUCAGCGUCUAGCCGACGGAAGUUUGAGGCAAUAACAGGUUUGUGAUGCCCUUAGAUGUUUUGGGCCGCACGCGCGCUACACUGACAGAGCCAGCGAGUUCUUUUCCUUGGCCGGAAGGUCUGGGUAAUCUUGUGAAACUCUGUCGUGCUGGGGAUAGAGCAUUGCAAUUAUUGCUCUUCAACGAGGAAUUCCUAGUAAGCGUGAAGUCAUCAGCUCGCGUUGAUUUACGUCCCCUGCCC
RNAcentral lists this ribosomal RNA (294 nucleotides) under uncultured fungus. RNAcentral's name for it is "partial 18S ribosomal RNA". It matches the Rfam family "Eukaryotic small subunit ribosomal RNA", at positions 1346 to 1658 of the family's 1831-position model. The record is from RNAcentral. Lineage: Eukaryota; Fungi.